CCCAACAUCACCGUCACCGUGCCCUUCGGUUACCCGUUCCGGUGAGUUUUUACCCCAAAUCCCCACUCGGGGGAUUUGGGGCAUUUUGGGCUGGAUUCGGGGGAUUUUGGUGGCUGUGGGAGGUGGGAAAGGAUGAAAAGGUGCCCUAAAAUAUGGGAGACCACCAGGAGUUGGUUGGGGAGGUUUGGGGGCUCUUGAGGUCCAAAAAAUUCCAAAAAAAUCUUAAAUUUGGGUGUGGAAGAGGAGAGGAGGAGUAGUUGGGUUGGAGAUCUGUAGGGUUGGCCAACCAGUCCUUGUAGGACGUGGUUGAUGGGAAAUGGGGGUCUGGAGGGGGUUUGGGGGUCCAAAAAAUUCUGAAAAAUUCCAAAAAAAUCUUAAAUUUUGGCGUUGAAGAGGAGAGGAGGAGGAGUUGGGUUUAAGACCCGUAGGGUUGGCCAACUACUACUUGUAGGACACAGUUGAGGGAAAAUAACCCCUGUGAGGGAUUUUUGGGGUGGUUACGGGAUGGGAAGAGGUGCGAACCCCCCCCUCACCCCCCAAAAUUCCCCAAAUUCCCCCCGCAGGUUGAACCAGGCGGUCU
This 580-nucleotide long non-coding RNA is filed under the name Anas platyrhynchos platyrhynchos (common mallard). RNAcentral's name for it is "lncRNA (ENSAPLG00000028446.1)". The record is from RNAcentral. Lineage: Eukaryota; Metazoa; Chordata; Aves; Anseriformes; Anatidae.